RNAcentral lists this ribosomal RNA (253 nucleotides) under uncultured bacterium. RNAcentral's name for it is "partial 16S ribosomal RNA". It matches the Rfam family "Bacterial small subunit ribosomal RNA", at positions 524 to 776 of the family's 1533-position model. The record is from RNAcentral.
UACGAAGGGGGCUAGCGUUGUUCGGAAUUACUGGGCGUAAAGCGCACGCAGGCGGCGCAUUAAGUCAGGGGUGAAAGGCCUGGGCUCAACCCAGGAACUGCCUUUGAGACUGAUGCGCUCGAGUCCGGAAGAGGGUAGUGGAAUUUCCAGUGUAGAGGUGAAAUUCGUAGAUAUUGGAAAGAACACCGGUGGCGAAGGCGGCUACCUGGUCCGGUACUGACGCUCAAGUGCGAAAGCGUGGGGAGCAAACAGG